Molecule: transfer RNA, 85 nt
Filed under: Felis catus (domestic cat)
Lineage: Eukaryota; Metazoa; Chordata; Mammalia; Carnivora; Felidae
Also listed under: 4 other names
Rfam family: tRNA
About the family: Transfer RNA (tRNA) molecules are approximately 80 nucleotides in length. Their secondary structure includes four short double-helical elements and three loops (D, anti-codon, and T loops).
Source: Rfam by way of RNAcentral
GCCUGGGUGGCUCAGUCGGUUGAGCAUCUGACUUCAGCUCAGGUCAUGAUCGCACGCUUCGUGGGUUCAAGCCCCACAUCGGGCU